Molecule: long non-coding RNA, 372 nt
Organism: Xenia sp. Carnegie-2017
Lineage: Eukaryota; Metazoa; Cnidaria; Anthozoa; Malacalcyonacea; Xeniidae
Exons: 3
Source: RefSeq, a predicted model, not a curated record
CGAUCAUAUUUUUAACGCUUCAUUCAAGACUCACAACUCGAUGUUUUCAGCGAAGGAUUUGGAAUAUUCGUUUGAAGGUUAAAAAAUAUAUCAAGUGUUGUAACAAGUUCAAAUCUAAAGCAUGACGUUUGACAUAAGAGCGCAUUACUAUGAAAUAUGGAGAUUUGGUGUGAUUCCAUCGCUAUAGUUUCUUGAUCAGCCCCGUUGGGAUGUCGAAUCUCAAGUCUUUCUGAUGUAGUCAAGUGGAAUGUCUUCAUCGGGAGUGAUCUGAUGUUGAAAUUUGAGUUUUUGUAUAUACUUAAGUCAAGUGUUUUCAUUAAGAGUGAUUUGAUUUUGAAUCAGAAGUAGCAAUUACAUAAUUCGCGUGUAUAA